AGUGAACGCUGGCGGUAGACCUAACACAUGCAAGUCGAACGGCAGCACAGUAAGAGCUUGCUCUUACGGGUGGCGAGUGGCGGACGGGUGAGGAAUACAUCGGAAUCUACUUUUUCGUGGGGGAUAACGUAGGGAAACUUACGCUAAUACCGCAUACGACCUACGGGUGAAAGCAGGGGAUCUUCGGACCUUGCGCGAUUGAAUUAGCCGAUGUCGGAUUAGCUAGUUGGCGGGGUAAAGGCCCACCAAGGCGACGAUCCGUAGCUGGUCUGAGAGGAUGAUCAGCCACACUGGAACUGAGACACGGUCCAGACUCCUACGGGAGGCAGCAGUGGGGAAUAUUGGACAAUGGGCGCAAGCCUGAUCCAGCCAUACCGCGUGGGUGAAGAAGGCCUUCGGGUUGUAAAGCCCUUUUGUUGGGAAAGAAAAGCAGCAGGUUAAUACCCCGCUGUUCUGACGGUACCCAAAGAAUAAGCACCGGCUAACUUCGUG
RNAcentral lists this ribosomal RNA (492 nucleotides) under uncultured bacterium. RNAcentral describes it as "partial 16S ribosomal RNA". It matches the Rfam family "Bacterial small subunit ribosomal RNA", at positions 29 to 507 of the family's 1533-position model. The record is from RNAcentral.